Molecule: ribosomal RNA, 1500 nt
Filed under: uncultured bacterium
Lineage: Bacteria
Description: bacterial SSU rRNA
Rfam family: Bacterial small subunit ribosomal RNA
Source: RNAcentral
AGAGUUUGAUCCUGGCUCAGAUUGAACGCUGGCGGCAGGCCUAACACAUGCAAGUCGAGCGGUAGCACAGAGAGCUUGCUCUCGGGUGACGAGCGGCGGACGGGUGAGUAAUGUCUGGGAAACUGCCUGAUGGAGGGGGAUAACUACUGGAAACGGUAGCUAAUACCGCAUAACGUCGCAAGACCAAAGUGGGGGACCUUCGGGCCUCAUGCCAUCAGAUGUGCCCAGAUGGGAUUAGCUAGUAGGUGGGGUAAUGGCUCACCUAGGCGACGAUCCCUAGCUGGUCUGAGAGGAUAACCAGCCACACUGGAACUGAGACACGGUCCAGCUCCUACGGAGGCAGCAGUGGGGAAUAUUGCACAAUGGGCGCAAGCCUGAUGCAGCCAUGCCGCGUGUAUGAAGAAGGCCUUCGGGUUGUAAAGUACUUUCAGCGAGGAGGAAGGCAUUAAGGUUAAUAACCUUAGUGAUUGACGUUACUCGCAGAAGAAGCACCGGCUAACUCCGUGCCAGCAGCCGCGGUAAUACGGAGGGUGCAAGCGUUAAUCGGAAUUACUGGGCGUAAAGCGCACGCAGGCGGUCUGUUAAGUCAGAUGUGAAAUCCCCGGGCUCAACCUGGGAACUGCAUUCGAAACUGGCAGGCUUGAGUCUUGUAGAGGGGGGUAGAAUUCCAGGUGUAGCGGUGAAAUGCGUAGAGAUCUGGAGGAAUACCGGUGGCGAAAGCGGCCCCCUGGACAAAGACUGACGCUCAGGUGCGAAAGCGUGGGGGAGCAAACAGGAUUAGAUACCCUGCUAGUCCACGCUGUAAACGAUGUCGACUUGGAGGUUGUUCCCUUGAGGAGUGGCUUCCGGAGCUAACGCGUUAAGUCGACCGCCUGGGGAGUACGGCCGCAAGGUUAAAACUCAAAUGAAUUGACGGGGGCCCGCACAAGCGGUGGAGCAUGUGGUUUAAUUCGAUGCAACGCGAAGAACCUUACCUACUCUUGACAUCCAGAGAACUUAGCAGAGAUGCUUUGGUGCCUUCGGGAACUCUGAGACAGGUGCUGCAUGGCUGUCGUCAGCUCGUGUUGUGAAAUGUUGGGUUAAGUCCCGCAACGAGCGCAACCCUUAUCCUUUGUUGCCAGCGAUUCGGUCGGGAACUCAAAGGAGACUGCCAGUGAUAAACUGGAGGAAGGUGGGGAUGACGUCAAGUCAUCAUGGCCCUUACGAGUAGGGCUACACACGUGCUACAAUGGCAUAUACAAAGAGAAGCGACCUCGCGAGAGCAAGCGGACCUCAUAAAGUAUGUCGUAGUCCGGAUUGGAGUCUGCAACUCGACUCCAUGAAGUCGGAAUCGCUAGUAAUCGUAGAUCAGAAUGCUACGGUGAAUACGUUCCCGGGCCUUGUACACACCGCCCGUCACACCAUGGGAGUGGAUUGCAAAAGAAGUAGGUAGCUUAACCUUCGGGAGGGCGCUUACCACUUUGUGAUUCAUGACUGGGGUGAAGUCGUAACAAGGUAACC